Molecule: long non-coding RNA, 1044 nt
Organism: Dermacentor andersoni
Lineage: Eukaryota; Metazoa; Arthropoda; Arachnida; Ixodida; Ixodidae
Source: RefSeq, a predicted model, not a curated record
AUGCCCCUCACUCAUCCAGUAUACGUAAAUGUAACCAAAUGUAGUAUAUGUAACCAACACACUCUCAGACUUUAGCGCAAUAAGUUAAUAUGUUGUGUUAUGCUGUUGAGUUGAGACUGUGAAUGGAACGAUUAUUAAAAUGAGCAAGCUAGAGACAACUAUUGCAGUGUUUAUAAUUUGUGGUAAUUGCAGCAUGAUAUUGCAAAAGAACAUAAAUAAUGCUCCUCUCAAUGUUUCUAUCUAUGCCUUUCGUUCAUCUCUUAGUCUCUCUGAAAUUAAGCAGCAGAGCAUGGCACAAGCACUGCUGCUUACGUCUAUAAUGGAGUCAUCAGUGGGUUUCAGACAGAGGCAACUCCUGUCCCUUAUGCACAUAUGUUUUGGUAUUUUCAAGACUGUUCCUGUCAUACCAAAGCCAAGGCUCACUGGCCCCUCAUGGUAUUGAAGCUUGCUCACCAAUUACUCAGAGUGGAUGAUACAUUUUCUGGAUUUUGUCAGGUGCCAUCUGUCUUGCCCUAAUCAUGGUAUGAAAGGUCACAGCAAAUUUAAUAACAAGCUGCUCAAGAAUGUGUCCCAGCUAGUGUCGCAACAUACCCCCUGGGUUCAUUCUUAAGACUGGGAAAACAUGGGGAAGGCAGGAAAUGGAAAUUCAAGACGAUGAGCAAACCGAGAACAAGAUGAAAGCAGGAGCCAACGUUUCAACAAGUGGACUUGUCUUCUUCAAGGCGACAUAUGCUUUCCUCGCCACAGUUACAGAUAUUAAGAAUCAAUUUGGUUGAUGCCCAGCCUGAUACUCCGUGAUUAUACUGAUAGAUAUGCAUACAAUUGUUUAUCCUUUUUCUGUGGAUUGCAUUUCACCUACUAACAAUUGAAAGAUAUCAGUCAACGUGAGAUGCAAAUAGUGUUGUACUUUGCGGAAGGUAUGUAUAUAUAUAUAUAUAUAUAUAUAUAGCACCAGCAAUUAUGUUACGACCUUUGACGAGUCAUGUGACGCGCUUGACACACCAUGCUCGCCGCUGGGUUGUUGUGCUUUGAGUGCCACAUGUU